Long non-coding RNA from Bos taurus (domestic cattle), 2686 nucleotides. Lineage: Eukaryota; Metazoa; Chordata; Mammalia; Artiodactyla; Bovidae. The record is from Ensembl.
GAAACACUCAGGAUGGGACCUAGCAGUCUGUGUUUUAACAAGUCCUCCAGGUGAUUCUGAUGCUAGCUUAGCAGUGGAGAACCAUGGCUUUAAAGCAGCGAUGAGGACAGUUGCUGCUGCUGCUUCUGCUAAGUUGCUUCAGUCGUGUUCGACUCUGCGACCCUAUGGACGACAGCCCACCAGGCUCCCCCGUCCCUGUGAUUCUCCAGGCAAGAACACUGAAGUGGGUUGCCAUUUUCUUCUCCAGUGCAUGAAAGUGAAAAGUGAAGGUGAAAUCGCUCAGUCGUGUCUGACUCUUAGCGACCGCAUGGACUGCAGGCUAUCAGGCUCCUCCGGCCAUGGGAUUUUCCAGGCAAGAGUACUGGAGUGGGGUGCCAUUGCCUUCUCCGGAUGAGGAGAGUAGAACACAGCUAAACUUUUGUGCUGUAAAUGCUACUUCAGAAUUAUAAACUCCAAUGUGAUAAAAUUGGCUGGGAAUCACUUGCUCUGGAACUUCUUAGGAGUAUGAGACUGGUCACACUGUGAGCUGUUAAAGUCUCUAACUCCCUGGGCAGGGUGUGUUAACGUGGAGCUGGAGUUUUCCAAAGGAGCUACCAUAAUCUGUGGACUCAAUGAUCCGUUAAUGACACCUGAAUGCUCACAGCAGAGCCCACCUCCACCUGCUGCUGCUCAUGGCUGGCCCGGUGAGGAUGCAGGUGCAUGGUAAGCACCCAAAUCAACAAUUAAGCUCACUUUUAUUAGUGGCUUCUGCUUACAAAACAGAGCUCUCGGGGAGCAUGAUUCAGUCUAGACAAAAACCUGGCAGCUCAGAAGAGUCUCACUGUUGGGGACCAGUGACAUCUUGUUAUAAUAAGGAGAGCCAGAAGAGUAAUAUUAUUCUGUUUUCACCUUCAUAGACUCUUACGGCCUAUUAUGGGGAUUACUAAAAACAAUUGUUUCCCACCUUAAACCUUCAAUUCUCCCCUCUAACAGUAAGGAAUUUUAAAGAAAAUAGGCAUUCCAUCUCUUCCAGGUGAACUAAGAUUAAUUCCUUUGGAAGUGUCACAUUUAGUUUGCUAAGAAAAAAAAAAGUCCACUGAGUGUGUAUAACUCUAAAAAAGCUUAAUACACUGGCAAUACAAAUGUUAAUAAAUAAAAACAUCUGUAAGCACAACUUAAGAAAUAUACCUAUCAGGGCUCUAGCUGAAAACAAAAAAAAAAAAAGAAGAAGAAGAAGAAAAGUACCCCUUAUAGGAGCCCAGCUCUGUGUGGGACAUUUUGCCUUCAUGUUUUCAUUUUAUUCCAGACAACCUUUUAAGAUUUUAAAAUGUGAACAGGGCCUUCUAUUGUUUGACACCCACAGACUUCUUUUAAGCUUGUGUCUUCAACCUGUGUGUUCCUUUUUAGUUAAUGGAGUAAUGAUAGCCCACAUGAGCCAUUUUUAAUUCUACCUAGAAGUUUAGUUGUCUAAUAGUUCUUAGAGCAUACUUGAAACAAUUGGAAAAAUACAUCAGUAUUUGUUAAAAAAAAUUCCCACAAUGCUUUAAUUGUCACAUGAGUAAUAGUAUCCAUUCUACUUUAAUUGACAUUAGAAAAUAGUACCACUGUACUUGAGUAAAGCAAACCAUCAAAAAAAAGUUGUAACAUAUUUAGGGAAGAAAAAGAAAACCUGAACAAUUCCUUUUUCAGAACAGCUCAGUUUUAUGAAGUGUGGAAAAAAAAAAACACACAAUGUUUAAAGAAUCUGCAUUUUGGAUUUGACAUUAAUAGAUCAUUGAACUGUUACUUUUGGCCAGUAUUGUUGAAGAGAUUGACUAUUGAUCAGUUAUUAAAAUUUACAUUCAUGGAAGAAUUCCUAGAUAACAGCAGAAACUAACGAAGAACUGUACCUUCAUGUCUGAGUUCUACUAACUGUUGCUAGCAGCCUGGCAGUGUGUGUCUACAAUGCUUGUCCUACAGUUUUCAACUAAUCAACUGUCACAGAUACAUCACCAUGAGAAGGAAACAAGUAGCUUUUUUUCUCUGGCUCACUGGGCAUACCAUGAAGGUGGUCAGAGCCCUGGCCCUCUCCUCUCCCCACCCCUUCUCCUGGAGUCUUCAUCCCGUGGCCUACAUCUGUGCACUUUAGCUGCAUACGGCUAUUUCAAUUAAAAAUUUUUUUUUCCAUUCAUAUAAACAUUUAUUUGCUAUUUGAACUUCGGAAUUGACUUCAAAUGAGCAUUGGAAGAUAACAAAUCAAUAUAGAUGCUUUGUAGUAUAAUUUUCCAAAUAACUUGUUAAGAUCUUUUUUAUAAAAUUAGCUGGGACAGCCCAAAUGUGGCAUUUUAUGUAGCCAGAAGAAAUUGCUUUUUGGAUGAAUGAUAACAUGGCAGAAUGUUUUCACAUAGCAAAAUUGUUUAAUCGUUUAAUAAAAAAGAAAAGCAUACAAAAUGAAAAAAAAAAAAAAAAACCCAAACACAUUUUAACUGGCUUAAUCUCACUGGGCAAUUGCUGGGGAGUUCUUCGUUUUCUCUCCAAUCUAUUUGACUUUACUGAUUUUUGACAUUUUAAUUCUUCCUCAGCAUUCUGAGAAAUGCUUUCCCAUUAGAAGCACUGAUCCUGGCUUCUAUACUCCUGGGUGAGGUAUUGUAAUCAUCUGUUUAAACAGGCCACCAUAUCCACACCCCAGUAGGAAGGCGAGAAUCAAGGGAGGUUUUCUGGAUUAUCU